This is an RNA transcript of Populus euphratica (Euphrates poplar), 1605 nucleotides long. It is a transcript of the gene named coenzyme Q 3, with no coding region annotated. The record is from RefSeq and is a predicted model, not a curated record. NCBI's taxonomy places the organism in Eukaryota, Viridiplantae, Streptophyta, Magnoliopsida, Malpighiales, Salicaceae. The transcript is spliced from 11 exons.
UCCUCUUCUUCCCCUACAAACAAAACAGUAACACACCUUCCCCUACUAAGUCAUUCUUCAAUUAUAAAACACCAUGGCUUUGAAGCUGCUAAGCAAACUCCGAAAUCAGAAUCUUCAAAUCACUCGAAACCGAAACCACCACCGGCUCCUCGAUGCCGCCAGAUUCUUCUCUGAAAAGCCAGUUUCGAAUCUUUGGACACCAGAUGAUAGCAAAUUUAUUAUUAAGAGCAAACAGCAAACCACCACAUCAUCUUUGAAACAGCACGAGCUUGCUAAAUUCGCAGCCAUUUCUGAUACCUGGUGGGAUUCAGAAGGUCCAUUUAAACCAUUGCAUAACAUGAACCCUACAAGACUCGCUUUUAUUCGCUCCACACUUUGUAGACAUUUCAGUAAGGAUCCGAACUGCGCUAGGCCUUUUGAAGGACUUAAAAUUGUUGAUGUUGGUUGUGGUGGUGGAAUUCUUUCGGAGCCUUUAGCUAGGAUGGGAGCAACUGUAACAGGAGUUGAUGCGGUGGAGAAAAAUAUCAAUGUUGCACGCCUUCAUGCUGAUUUGGAUCCAGAGACUUCAACCAUUGAAUACAGUUGCACAACAGCUGAAAAACUAGUCGAGGAGCAGAGGAAGUUUGAUGCUGUGAUUGCACUGGAGGUAAUUGAGCAUGUGGCAGCUCCUGCUGAAUUCUGCAAGUCGCUGGCAGCACUGGCUUAUCCUGGUGGAGCCACUGUAAUAUCAACAAUUAAUCGUUCUAUGAGAGCGUAUGCGACUGCCAUUGUUGCAGCAGAGUACCUUCUCAAUUGGCUUCCUAAAGGCACGCAUCAGUGGUCAAGCUUUCUUACUCCUGAAGAACUGGUGCUUAUCCUACAGCGUGCUUCUAUCAAUGUUAAAGAAAUGGCUGGAUUCGCUUACAGCCCCUUGACUGGGCGAUGGUCUCUAUCUGAUGAUAUUUCUGUGAACUUCAUAGCCUAUGGUACCAAAGAUGGUCAAUGAUGAGAACUGCAUACAAAGACAGGCAUGCUGAUUAAAAGUUUUGCUCUUAGACCACGGUCGCGUGAUAAGAGUGUGUGAACAGGGCCUCAGCCAAACCAAGAGUCAACAUGGGUGAAAUAAAUUACAACCAAACAUAUUCAAAGUUGUCAAAUCACAUGCUGGAGACAUAGCGGCCUAUUGAGCACAAGACGAGAAGGUAACUUUCCUUUAACUUUCGGCAAUGACCAAACACCUCAAAUCAAUUUAGCUGGUCACCGUGAUCAAGUUGCCAAAAAUUCUCCAAGGAGUAAAAAAUUGCCAAAAUCAAGCCGUUAAAAUCGUGCCUUCUAUUGGAGGUCGUUUCAUUAUCGGCUGAUGAUGCUAGGAGUGUUGCAGACUAUGGGACAACCUCCUAGGAGGAGGACAGUGGAAUUCGCGACCGCAAGGUGGAACUACCUAUGCUGCACUUGCUAGAAGAUUGUCCGAGCGAAGCCGAGGCGGCAAAUAAGUUAACAGCUUCACCACGAUGGCCGUUCCCCGAUCACUGGCUCAAUGGCUUACUUUCAACAGGGCUAUUUGACCAUGUUUGGAUUCAAUUUUAUAUGCGAGUAUAUUCAAGCAAUCCUCACAAUUUUUAGAAA